This 364-nucleotide long non-coding RNA is filed under the name Struthio camelus australis. RNAcentral describes it as "lncRNA (ENSSCUG00000012947.1)". The record is from RNAcentral. Lineage: Eukaryota; Metazoa; Chordata; Aves; Struthioniformes; Struthionidae.
GGGCGUCCGCGGCUCCGGAUGGCUGCUCGUUGGCGUUGGGGCGUGGGCGCGCGCCGAGGCGAGGGCGUCCUCAGAGGAAGCGGGGUCUCUGGGGCAGCCCUGGGAGCAGCUCGCCUGAGAAACGCCUCCGUGAUGCACCAGGUUGCUCUGUAUACUUAUGGGAAUCCCUGCAGUCAUCUCGGAAACGCAGAUAUUGUUAGACUGAAGAUGCCAGCUUUGGCCUUACCGGCAACAAGAGUUUUCCCUAAUUCCGACAAAGAAUGUGCUGAACAAACUGGUAUUUGAAGAAAGUGCUGUCCUGACUCUUUGUGGCACUGAAGAUCAGCCAUUCUGGAGGAGAAAGGCCACCCGUUGCUACAGGCUG